GUGAGGAAUAUUGGUCAAUGGGCGCAAGCCUGAACCAGCCAUCCCGCGUGCAGGAAGACGGCCCUAUGGGUUGUAAACUGCUUUUCCGGGGGGAGAAUUUUUCCGUCGUGACGGGAAUUGACGGUACCCCGGGAAUAAGCAUCGGCUAACUCCGUGCCAGCAGCCGCGGUAAUGCGGAGGAUGCGAGCGUUAUCCGGAUUUAUUGGGUUUAAAGGGUGCGUAGGCGGAAUGAUAAGUCAGUGGUGAAAACCUGCAGCUUAACUGUAGACUUGCCGUUGAUACUGUCAGUCUUGAGUGUGGUCAAGGUAGGCGGAAUGUGUAAUGUAGCGGUGAAAUGCUUAGAUAUUACACAGAACACCGAUUGCGAAGGCAGCUUACUGGGCCAUUACUGACGCUGAUGCACGAAAGCGUGGGGAUCGAACAGGAUUAGAUACCCUUGUAGUCC
RNAcentral lists this ribosomal RNA (445 nucleotides) under uncultured bacterium. Its description in RNAcentral is "partial 16S ribosomal RNA". It matches the Rfam family "Bacterial small subunit ribosomal RNA", at positions 354 to 796 of the family's 1533-position model. The record is from RNAcentral.